This 31-nucleotide small RNA is filed under the name Arabidopsis thaliana (thale cress). Its description in RNAcentral is "ATSL049000". Lineage: Eukaryota; Viridiplantae; Streptophyta; Magnoliopsida; Brassicales; Brassicaceae. The record is from RNAcentral.
AAUAAUAAUAAAAAAAACUAAAAAACUAAAA